Molecule: ribosomal RNA, 423 nt
Filed under: uncultured bacterium
Lineage: Bacteria
Description: bacterial SSU rRNA
Rfam family: Bacterial small subunit ribosomal RNA
Source: RNAcentral
AAGACCUUGCACUUUUGGAGCGGCCGAUGUCUGAUUAGCUAGUUGGUGGGGUAAUGGCCUACCAAAGCUUCGAUCAGUAGCUGGUCUGAGAGGACGGCCAGCCACACUGGGACUGAGACACGGCCCAGACUCCUACGGGAGGCAGCAGUGGGGAAUUUUGGACAAUGGGCGCAAGCCUGAUCCAGCCAUGCCGCGUGAGUGAAGAAGGCCUUCGGGUUGUAAAGCCCUUUCAGUCGGGAAGAAAAGGUUGCGACUAAUAAUCGCAAUUCAUGACGGUACCGAAAGAAGAAGCACCGGCUAACUACGUGCCAGCAGCCGCGGUAAUACGUAGGGUGCGAGCGUUAAUCGGAAUUACUGGGCGUAAAGGGUGCGCAGGCGGUUUUGUAAGUCAGAUGUGAAAUCCCCGGGCUUAACCUGGGAACU